Molecule: ribosomal RNA, 403 nt
Filed under: uncultured bacterium
Lineage: Bacteria
Description: bacterial SSU rRNA
Rfam family: Bacterial small subunit ribosomal RNA
Source: RNAcentral
CCGCCCCGACGAAGGGGAGUGGCAGACGGGUGAGUAACGCGGUGGGAAUCUACCCAGUUCGUACGGAAACAACACGAAGGGUAAACUUGUGCUAAUACCGUAUACCGCCCCGAAGGGGGAAAGAUUUAUCGGAAUUGGAUGAGCCCGCGUUGGAUUAGCUAGUUGGUGAGGUAAUGGCUCACCAAGGCGACGAUCCAUAGCUGGUCUGAGAGGAUGAUCAGCCACACUGGGACUGAGACACGGCCCAGACUCCUACGGGAGGCAGCAGUGGGGAAUAUUGGACAAUGGGCGCAAGCCUGAUCCAGCCAUGCCGCGUGAGUGAUGAAGGCCUUAGGGUUGUAAAGCUCUUUCAGUGGGGAAGAUAAUGACGGUACCCACAGAAGAAGCCCCGGCUAACUUCGUG